UUAAGCUAAUAAGAGCGCAGGGUGGAUGCCUUGGCACUAAGAGCCGAAGAAAGACGUGAUAAGCUGCGAAAAGCUGCGGGGAGGAGCAAAUGUCCAUUGAUCCGCAGAUGUCUGAAUGGGGAAACCCGUCUGGAAGAACUCCAGUCACUGCAUGUUGAAUACAUAGGCAUGCAGGGGGAACCCGGUGAACUGAAACAUCUAAGUAGCCGGAGGAAAAGAAAGAAAAAUCGAUUUCCAAAGUAGCGGCGAGCGAAAUGGAAGGAGCCCAAACCGGGAUGCGUGCAUUCCGGGGUUAUGGACCGCAAGAAGUGACCCGUAAGAUAGAAGAAUGGCAUUGGGAAAGCCAGCCACAGAGGGUGAAAGCCCCGUAUUCGAAAUCAGAAGGGAGCGAGCGGAAUCCGAAGUACUACGAGACACGUGGAACCUUGUAGGAAAUCGGGGGGACCACCCCCCAAGGCUAAAUACUCCUUAGUGACCGAUAGCGCAUAGUACUGUGAAGGAACGGUGAAAAGAACCCCGGGAGGGGAGUGAAAGAGAACCUGAAACCCUGUGUUUACAAGCUGUGGAAGAGCUUUACAUGCUCAACCGCGUACUUUUUGUAGAACGGUCCGGCGAGUUACUCUUACUGGCAAGGUUAAGCACCAAAGGUGUGGAGCCGAAGGGAAACCAAGUCUUAACAGGGCGAGUUAGUCAGUGUGAGUAGACCCGAAACCGGGUGACCUACCCAUGUCCAGGAUGAAGUUGCCGUAAAAGGCAAUGGAGGUCCGAACACACAUCCGUUGAAAAGGGUGGUGAUGAGGUGUGGGUAGCGGAGAAAUUCCAAUCGAACCCGGAGAUAGCUGGUUCUCCUCGAAAUAGCUUUAGGGCUAGCCUCAAUUUAGUCUUGCGGAGGUAGAGCACUGAAUAUCCUAGGGGGCGUCAAAGCUUACCGAAGAUUAUCAAACUCCGAAUGCCGUAAAGAUGAUGAUUGGGAGUCAGACUGCACGAGAUAAGUUGGGUAGUCAAAAGGGAAACAGCCCAGACCUCCAGCUAAGGUCCCAAAGUGAGUGUUAAGUGGAAAAGGAUGUGGGAUUUCGAAGACAACUAGGAUGUUGGCUCAGAAGCAGCCAUUCAUUCAAAGAGUGCGUAAUAGCUCACUAGUCGAGAGGUCCUGCGCCGAAAAUGUCCGGGGCUAAACACUACACCGAAGCUGAGGAAUGACAAUGUCAUUGGUAGAGGAGCAUUCUUAACUGCGACGAAGCUGUACCGAAAGGAGCAGUGGAGUGUUAAGAAGAGAGAAUGCCGGAAUGAGUAGCGAGAGUGAGGUGAGAAUCCUCACGGCCGAAUAUCUAAGGUUUCCAGGGUAAAGCUGAUCUGCCCUGGGUAAGUCGGGACCUAAGGCGAGGUCGAAAGACGUAGUCGAUGGACAACAGGUUGAAAUUCCUGUACUGCAAUGUAUCAGAAAUGUGGGGACACAGACAGAGAGCCGGAGCCGGGAAUGGAGAAACCGGUGCAAGCGAGGUAGGAGAACAGCAGGCAAAUCCGAUGUUCAAUUUGAAGACGUGACGCGGAGCGAAAUUAAAGUAGCGAAGCCGGUGAGCUGGCUGUCAGGAAAAGCCGCUAUUGUGUACAUUGUACCCGUACCGUAAACCGACACAGGUGGAUGAGGAGAGAAUCCUAAGGCCGACGGAAGAAGCAUUGUUAAGGAACUCGGCAAAAUGGCCCCGUAACUUCGGGAUAAGGGGUGCCUACGAAGGUAGGCCGCAGAGAAUUGGCCCAAGCAACUGUUUAGCAAAAACACAGGUCUAUGCGAAACCGUAAGGUGAUGUAUAUGGGCUGACGCCUGCCCGGUGCUGGAAGGUUAAGGGGAGAGGUUAGACAUGAGUCGAAGCCUUGAACUUAAGCCCCAGUAAACGGCGGCCGUAACUAUAACGGUCCUAAGGUAGCGAAAUUCCUUGUCGGGUAAGUUCCGACCCGCACGAAAGGCGUAAUGAUUUGGGCAC
RNAcentral lists this ribosomal RNA (1982 nucleotides) under human gut metagenome. RNAcentral's name for it is "bacterial LSU rRNA". It matches the Rfam family "Bacterial large subunit ribosomal RNA", at positions 3 to 2016 of the family's 2925-position model. The record is from RNAcentral.